UGGGGAAUAUUGGACAAUGGGCGAAAGCCUGAUCCAGCCAUGCCGCGUGUGUGAAGAAGGUCUUCGGAUUGUAAAGCACUUUAAGUUGGGAGGAAGGGCACUAACCUAAUACGUUAGUGUUUUGACGUUACCGACAGAAUAAGCACCGGCUAACUCUGUGCCAGCAGCCGCGGUAAUACAGAGGGUGCAAGCGUUAAUCGGAAUUACUGGGCGUAAAGCGCGCGUAGGUGGUUUGUUAAGUUGGAUGUGAAAUCCCCGGGCUCAACCUGGGAACUGCAUUCAAAACUGACUGACUAGAGUAUGGUAGAGGGUGGUGGAAUUUCCUGUGUAGCGGUGAAAUGCGUAGAUAUAGGAAGGAACACCAGUGGCGAAGGCGACCACCUGGACUAAUACUGACACUGAGGUGCGAAAGCGUGGGGAGCAAACA
Molecule: ribosomal RNA, 427 nt
Filed under: uncultured bacterium
Lineage: Bacteria
Description: partial 16S ribosomal RNA
Rfam family: Bacterial small subunit ribosomal RNA
Source: RNAcentral